Molecule: transfer RNA, 66 nt
Filed under: Ceratophysella communis
Lineage: Eukaryota; Metazoa; Arthropoda; Collembola; Poduromorpha; Hypogastruridae
Description: tRNA-Glu
Source: RNAcentral
UCUUUAAUAGUUUAAAAAAACUUAACAUUUUCGUUGUUAGAUUAGAGAUUUAUUUUCUUUAAAGAU